Molecule: unclassified non-coding RNA, 303 nt
Organism: Erinaceus europaeus (western European hedgehog)
Lineage: Eukaryota; Metazoa; Chordata; Mammalia; Eulipotyphla; Erinaceidae
Gene: 7SK
Rfam family: 7SK RNA
About the family: 7SK was discovered as an abundant small nuclear RNA in the mid-70s but a possible function has only recently been suggested. Two independent studies have found that 7SK RNA binds the CDK9/cyclin T complex (known as elongation factor P-TEFb).
Source: Ensembl
AGAAGAAGGGCAAUCUUGCUGCGACAUCUGUCAACCCAUUGAUCGCCAGGGUUGAUUUUGCUGAUCUGGCUGGCUAGGUGGGUGUCUCCUUCCUCUCUCGCUUCUCCAUGUUUGUCAGACCCGAAGCUGUGCACUCGGUCGAAGAGGAUGGCCUUCCCAGAAUAGAGACAGACCGGUCUUUAGUCAAGGGUAUAGGAGUAGCUGUACUCCCCUGCUAGAACUUCCAAACAAGCUCUCAAAAGCUUAAUGAAUUUCAUACAGUCACCACUUUCAUUACCACUAUGUAUUCAAAAGUGAUCUUUU